CAUUGUACUUAUGUACUUGUUGAUAAGAAGUGAGCAGGCUGAGGAGGGGGCAAGAAGCUUCUUGCUUUUAUGGCUCGUGUGAUUUGUUUUUAAUUGAAAGUUUCUUUUAUGGCAACUGGUACUGUUAAGUGGUUCAAUGAUUCCAAAGGUUUUGGCUUCAUCACUCCUGAUGACGGCGGCGAGGAUCUGUUCGCGCACUUCUCCGCAAUCAAUAUGACCGGUUUUAAGACCCUCAAAGAAGGUCAGAAAGUCCAAUUCGAAGUCACGCAAGGCCCGAAAGGCAAGCAAGCUUCCAACAUCCAGGGCGUGUAAUACCUCUCCCCCGGAAGCAAGAGACCCCGCGACAGCGGGGUUUUUUUUU
RNAcentral lists this small RNA (361 nucleotides) under Massilia sp. KIM. Its description in RNAcentral is "cspA thermoregulator". It matches the Rfam family "cspA thermoregulator". Lineage: Bacteria; Pseudomonadati; Pseudomonadota; Betaproteobacteria; Burkholderiales; Oxalobacteraceae. The record is from Rfam by way of RNAcentral.